RNAcentral lists this ribosomal RNA (460 nucleotides) under uncultured bacterium. Its description in RNAcentral is "partial 16S ribosomal RNA". It matches the Rfam family "Bacterial small subunit ribosomal RNA", at positions 338 to 795 of the family's 1533-position model. The record is from RNAcentral.
CCUACGGGAGGCAGCAGUGAGGAAUAUUGGUCAAUGGGCGCGAGCCUGAACCAGCCAAGUAGCGUGAAGGAUGACUGCCCUCCGGGUUGUAAACUUCUUUUAUAAAGGGAUAAAGUGAGGCACGUGUGCCUUUUUGUCUGUACUUUAUGAAUAAGGAUCGGCUAAAUACGUGCCAGCAGCCGCGGUAAUACGGAGGCUCCGAGCGUUAUCCGGAUGUAUUGGGUUUAAAGGGAGCGUAGGUGGGUUGUUAAGUCUGUUGUGAAAGUCUGUGGCUCAACCAUAAAAUUGCAAUUGAAACUGGCAGACUUGAGUAUAGUUGAGGUAGGCGGAAUUCGUGGUGUAGCGGUGAAAUGCUUAGAUAUCACGAAGAACUCCGAUUGCGAAGGCAGCCUACUAAAAUGCCACUGACAUUGAUGCUCGAAAGUGUGGGUAGCAAACAGGAUUAGAUACCCGAGUAGUC